CCUACGGGAGGCAGCAGUGGGGAAUAUUGCGCAAUGGGCGAAAGCCUGACGCAGCGACGCCGCGUGAGGGAUGAAGGUCUUCGGAUCGUAAACCUCUGUCAGCAGGGAAGAACGGUCACUGUGCUAAUCAGCAGUGAAUUGACGGUACCUGCAAAGGAAGCACCGGCUAACUCCGUGCCAGCAGCCGCGGUAAUACGGAGGGUGCGAGCGUUAAUCGGAAUUACUGGGCGUAAAGCGCUCGUAGGCGGUAUGUCAAGUCAAGGGUGAAAUCCCCGCGCUCAACGUGGGAACUGCCUUUGAAACUGGCAAACUGGAGUGUGUGAGAGGAUAGUGGAAUUCCAGGUGAAGGAGUGAAAUGCGUAGAUAUCUGGAGGAACAUCAGUGGCGAAGGCGACUAUCUGGCACAUAACUGACGCUGAGGAGCGAAAGCGUGGGUAGCAAACAGGAUUAGAUACCCGAGUAGUC
This 465-nucleotide ribosomal RNA is filed under the name uncultured bacterium. Its description in RNAcentral is "partial 16S ribosomal RNA". It matches the Rfam family "Bacterial small subunit ribosomal RNA", at positions 338 to 795 of the family's 1533-position model. The record is from RNAcentral.